RNAcentral lists this ribosomal RNA (520 nucleotides) under uncultured microorganism. Its description in RNAcentral is "bacterial SSU rRNA". It matches the Rfam family "Bacterial small subunit ribosomal RNA", at positions 9 to 517 of the family's 1533-position model. The record is from RNAcentral.
GAGUUUGAUCGUGGCUCAGGAUGAACGCUGGCGGCGUGCUUAACACAUGCAAGUCGAACGGGGCCACCAUUUUUGAAGCGAUUAGCUUGCUAAGAGUGGAAAUGUUGGCGGCUUAGUGGCGGACGGGUGAGUAACGCGUGGGUAACCUGCCAUAUACAGGGGGAUAACACUUAGAAAUAGGUGCUAAUACCGCAUAAGCGCACGGAGCUGCAUGGCUCAGUGUGAAAAACUCCGGUGGUAUAUGAUGGACCCGCGUCUGAUUAGCUUGUUGGCGGGGUAACGGCCCACCAAGGCGACGAUCAGUAGCCGGCCUGAGAGGGUGGACGGCCACAUUGGGACUGAGACACGGCCCAAACUCCUACGGGAGGCAGCAGUGGGGAUAUUGGACAAUGGGGGAACCCUGAUCCAGCGACGCCGCGUGAGUGAAGAAGUAUCUCGGUAUGUAAAGCUCUAUCAGCAGGGAAGAAAGAAAUGACGGUACCUGACCAAGAAGCCCCGGCUAACUACGUGCCAGCCGCCG